Aethalodelphis obliquidens (Pacific white-sided dolphin) is the source of this 1570-nucleotide long non-coding RNA. RefSeq lists it as uncharacterized. NCBI's taxonomy places the organism in Eukaryota, Metazoa, Chordata, Mammalia, Artiodactyla, Delphinidae. The record is from RefSeq and is a predicted model, not a curated record. The transcript has 3 exons.
AGUUUCGAUCCCUGGUUGGGGAACUAAGAUCCCACUUGCCACAUGUAGUGCCCCCCCCCCCCAAAAAAAAGGCAUUUGGAGAGUUGGUGGAGCAGGAGAUGUGGAUGUUUCUGAAAUGAAAACCGUGCUUCCUUUGGCCUCUACUUCAUCUGCUCUGUUUGGGGGUAUGUGCGAGCAGGACACGGCAGGAGAUCUGGGCUCCUAUUCAGAAGGCCACUUUCUCUGCCUCCCCUGUCCCUGUCCCUCUCCUGUCACCCAGCUUAGGCAGAAGCCAUCACGCCAUCAUCCUUUCCCCUGUUGCAUGGUGUACGUCCUCCACCCUAGCCCUCACCCUCCUGGCCUGCUGUGUUGUUGUCAGUUUAGAUGACCCAUAAUCUGACAGUAGAGCCCAUCUCCCCAGCCCCAGAUGAACUCCAAAAGAAAAAUGUACUAAACCAUAAAAUAGAAUUCUAUUUCCUGACACGACACGCAACACUGUAUGCUACAAUUAUUUCCUUUUGAGAUGUUCUCUUUCUUUCUUGGGGGGGGGGUGAACCCCUUCUUCGCUAGAGCCGCGACCAUGUGAUCGGUUGCCCACUGAGAAAACUUGAGCUGAUUGUGCAUGAGCACAGGCCAAAGCACCUGCCCGCUAGUCAGCCCACCAGCCCCGGAGGUGGGUACCACCCAGUGAUCCCUGGUUUCCAGAUGAAGAAUGGAGACGCAGAGAGGAGGUGAUUUGUCCACGGUCACAGAGCUACUCAGCUCUGCAGGAAGGCGCAAUUAUUCCAAAAAAGGACACUGAGGAUGCCGCCGACAAAUUGCCCAGCAACUAGAGCCCAGGAGCCCAGCUGCAGGCUUGUCUUCUUCCCAGAAGGGGUGUGAGAUGCAAGACUGUUUCCAGGGCGCCCCCAAAGGGCAAAGCCAGCAUCAGCGGGGAGCUCCUGGGGGCGGCCCGCUAGCCCCCCAGGCCUGGCCCAAGGGGCGGCACGGAUUGAAGGGAAGACGGUUUGGACCUCCUUCCUUAGUUCUGCAAAAUGGUGUCUGCGCCACGGACACGGGGGCUGCGGUGUUGCGUCCGCGGGGGCGAGUGUGCGGUUCCCUACGAGCCGCCUGCCGCCCCAACGGCUCUCAUCUCCACGUUUGGAUGACAUGUCCUUAAAGUGACCUAUAUUAUCUGGCACCUCGGAUUGCUACUCACAAAAAAAGUAACACUGGAAGAAAAAAAAAAUCCCCAACGAUUGUGUAAAUAUUCCUUACAGAGAAGAGUAAACUCAGGUGCCCUCUGCUGGGCGAGACAGGUAGGGGCCAAGGCCAGGAGGGAAGGCAGCUGGGGGCGGGGCCUGAGUGCGGAGGUCCCUGGCAUAGAGGCGGGGCCUGGCGGCCGCGGUGGGCAAAGCCUGCCUCCCCAUCUCCCAUUCUUGUGUGACCCACCGGCAGCCUUCAGGGCAAAUGGGGCCAAGCUGAGGUCUUUGGGGCAUGGGGAACGAAAAACCAAAACCGAAACUGCUUACGAGCAGAUCAUUCACUUUGGGAGAACUGACAAUUUCUUCACUGGGAUUUUCUUUUUUCCAAUAAAUAUUGUUGGAUUUGA